This is a long non-coding RNA of Strongylocentrotus purpuratus (purple sea urchin), 457 nucleotides long. RefSeq lists it as uncharacterized. The record is from RefSeq and is a predicted model, not a curated record. NCBI's taxonomy places the organism in Eukaryota, Metazoa, Echinodermata, Echinoidea, Camarodonta, Strongylocentrotidae. The transcript has 3 exons.
GGCUAUUGUUUACGUUGCAUCCGACAGAUACGGAAAUAUCAACUUUUGUUCGUUUAUUGUCACCAUCGCCGAUAGGUCUUCCCCUCAACCUCUUUCCUCAGGCUUCCCGAUGGAGGGGACGAUAACCAUUAUCGUUGUCAUCGGCAUCAUUAUCCUAGUCGCCAUGAUGAUCAUGUUUCUACUUAAAACCAGGAAAGAUCGAAGGAAGGAAUAUCAAAGCAAGGAAGAUCAAAGCAAGGAAGAUCAAAGCAAGGAAGAUCAGAACAAGGAAGAUCAAAUCGAGGAAUGAUCAAGAUAUCUCCACCCCGGUCUAUCACGCUUUCAAGCAAGCACUUACCGUGAUUGCCCUUCUUCGGCAGAUUUCUCAUUGAUGAAUAAUUCUUUUUAGUGUGUUAUUCGUUAAAUUUUGUUUUAAUUAUAAUUAUAUUGUGUACACGUUCAAAUGAUUUGAAAUGUU